This 68-nucleotide ribosomal RNA is filed under the name Escherichia coli BCE007_MS-11. Lineage: Bacteria; Pseudomonadati; Pseudomonadota; Gammaproteobacteria; Enterobacterales; Enterobacteriaceae. The record is from RNAcentral.
AAUGAACCGUGAGGCUUAACCUUACAACGCCGAAGAUGUUUUGGCGGAUGAGAGUAAGAUUUUCAGCC